Molecule: long non-coding RNA, 1376 nt
Filed under: Homo sapiens (human)
Lineage: Eukaryota; Metazoa; Chordata; Mammalia; Primates; Hominidae
Description: HSALNT0354595
Source: RNAcentral
CAUUCACAUGCCUCCCAUCUGACUGGUUCCUGCUGCCACACUCAUUGGCUCUGACCCUAGUUUGAUCAAGCUCCUCCUCUGCUCAAACACCUUUCCAAGGCUCCCCACAUCCAGAACAAAAUACAGCCCCCUUUGCUGGGCACUCAGUGCCUCCUGCGGUCUGGUCAAUCUCCUCUCUCACUAACCACCUUCACUCUUUGGUUGGUUCAACCGGACUGAACUACACUUGGUUUUCCAUCUGAGUCCCACAAUUCUCAUCCUCUGUGCUUCUUCUCUUGUUCAUCCCAUCUCCUGAAAUGUCCCCCAAUCUGCCUUCCCAUAACCGAAUUCUAUCCAUUAUUCAAGGGCCAGUUCAAUUCUUCUAAGAAGUUUGCCCUGAAUUCCACAACUGAGUGAGAGUACUCCAUCAUCAGAUGUGCUUGAUUCAUCUCGGAGUUUAACCCAGCGUGUGACACCCAGGAGCCAGUGUCCUGGGCUAAACACAAGAGUGCUGAUUCCCACUGUAAGUUACAGUGAAGAACUUCUGCUAUCUGAGGGCAUGUGUUUUCAUCUUCAAAAAAGGAUGGACAGUCCCCAUGAACCUUCCCUCUCCAACCACACAGGCCUUGCUUCUGGACAUGCAGUGAUAACUCUCUGUUUGCUGGAUGAAGAUCAUGUUGGCUCUAUGCACAUUCAGAUAACCUUCUACACCAGACACCCCUGGUGAUUGCUCUAUAAAUCAUAUUGGCCAGGAGAAAGGAUGUUCAGUUCCCUAGGCUUUUCAUCAUGGUCAAUUAGGGAAUCAGCCCAAAAGGUCAGCAUCACUGCCCUUAAAUGAGGUCACACUCCAUGCACUCUGAGUACCCCGGAAAGCUGUGGUGCUGGUGAUUAAUGCAUGUGUCCAGACACCUGGUUUCAACGAGGCAAAUCCCUGGCAUACAAUCCCAGCUUGUCUCUUCUCACUGUGUGUAUUUCUCGAGCUGGCCUGUCACCAUGCAAAGAGUAUUUUGAAAAUGCAGUUUAUGCUCAUCUUGGAUGCAGCUGAGAUGCCAUGGAAAGAAGUCAGACUUUGGAAUAGGAUGGGUCUCAGGAUUUGGGAGCAUGUUCCAUUAUCCCCUCAAGUUUUGAUUCCCUCAUCUGUUAAAGGUUAUUGUGAGGAUAAGAUAUAAUGCCUUUCAAGUGCUUGAUGAAGGGCCUGAACUAUAUCAGGUACUCAUGAAUGUUUAGUAUGAUGCAAAUUUCAAGAUUAAUAAUAAAAGAAGCUGCACCAGACUGCUAUUGCUUCCCUAAAUGUGAUGUGUGCUUUCAUAACUCCUGCUCCUCAGCCACAGAGUUUCUUCUGCCUGCAAUAGCAUUUCUUCCCCGACAAGCUUUUUCAAAUCCCCAAGUAAGCAUCC